AUGCAACAGCUAAUGAGAGGAGAUCAUGGACAGAUGGAGGGCUCCAUCGCAAACGCAUUGUUCGACGAAUGGACAGUGCAGCAACAAUACAACACAACCGAUAAAGCCAUACUUCCCGCAGAAUUUGCAAAUAUCGUGCUCGGUGUUAAAAGUGGUGAAGAAGAACGACUAGCAGAAUUCAAUGAGGAAGACGCAUUGAAACAGUUUGCAUCCCUUGUAACAGGGAAGGAACUCUUAAAGAAAAAGCUGAUUAUGAUACCUCACAACACAGCUAAACACUACACAUUGUACGUGCUCAACAAGUACACGAGCUCCAUCGACAUACUUGACUCACUGAAUUACAGACACUGA
RNAcentral lists this ribosomal RNA (351 nucleotides) under Triticum aestivum (bread wheat). RNAcentral's name for it is "partial small subunit ribosomal RNA". The record is from RNAcentral. Lineage: Eukaryota; Viridiplantae; Streptophyta; Magnoliopsida; Poales; Poaceae.